AGUGAACGCUGGCGGUAGGCCUAACACAUGCAAGUCGAACGGCAGCACAGUAAGAGCUUGCUCUUACGGGUGGCGAGUGGCGGACGGGUGAGGAAUACAUCGGAAUCUACUUUUUCGUGGGGGAUAACGUAGGGAAACUUACGCUAAUACCGCAUACGACCUACGGGUGAAAGCAGGGGAUCUUCGGACCUUGCGCGAUUGAAUGAGCCGAUGUCGGAUUAGCUAGUUGGCGGGGUAAAGGCCCACCAAGGCGACGAUCCGUAGCUGGUCUGAGAGGAUGAUCAGCCACACUGGAACUGAGACACGGUCCAGACUCCUAAGGGAGGCAGCAGUGGGGAAUAUUGGACAAUGGGCGCAAGUCUGAUCCAGCCAUACCGCGUGGGUGAAGAAGGCCUUCGGGUUGUAAAGACCUUUUGUUGGGAAAGAAAAGCAGCAGGUUAAUACCCCGCUGUUCUGACGGUACCCAAAGAAUAAGCACCGGCUAACUUCGUG
RNAcentral lists this ribosomal RNA (492 nucleotides) under uncultured bacterium. RNAcentral describes it as "partial 16S ribosomal RNA". It matches the Rfam family "Bacterial small subunit ribosomal RNA", at positions 29 to 507 of the family's 1533-position model. The record is from RNAcentral.